AAUGGGGGAAACCCUGAUGCAGCGAUGCCGCGUGAGUGAAGAAGGCCUUUGGGUUGUAAAGCUCUUUCGUCGGGGAAGAAAAUGACUGUACCCGAAUAAGAAGGUCCGGCUAACUUCGUGCCAGCAGCCGCGGUAAUACGAAGGGACCUAGCGUAGUUCGGAAUUACUGGGCUUAAAGAGUUCGUAGGUGGUUAAAAAAGUUGGUGGUGAAAUCCCAGAGCUUAACUCUGGAACUGCCAUCAAAACUUUUUAGCUAGAGUAUGAUAGAGGAAAGCAGAAUUUCUAGUGUAGAGGUGAAAUUCGUAGAUAUUAGAAAGAAUACCAAUUGCGAAGGCAGCUUUCUGGAUCAUUACUGACACUGAGGAACGAAAGCAUGGGUAGCGAAGAGGAUU
RNAcentral lists this ribosomal RNA (392 nucleotides) under uncultured Gammaproteobacteria bacterium. Its description in RNAcentral is "bacterial SSU rRNA". It matches the Rfam family "Bacterial small subunit ribosomal RNA", at positions 370 to 779 of the family's 1533-position model. The record is from RNAcentral. Lineage: Bacteria; Pseudomonadati; Pseudomonadota; Gammaproteobacteria.